CACUCGCCAGUGUAAAUGGUAGUAGCGUCAGUUUAGAGGUUUAUCCCAUUAUGCAGAGCCAGCAACACUGCCUCUCUUCUAGACCUUCUCGCGCACCGUAGCUCACCAGCCGCUCCCCUCCCUCUCCCCCUCCCGCCCCCACUCCGUCCCAUCGAGCAGCAGUUGCGUUCUCCGACAGCUACAGUUUAGCGCGUGCCCGCCUUCAACAGUGAUUAAAAGAACUCACAGAGAAAGCGAACAAGACUAACGAUAUCUCCCAGUCAAGAGCAGAACAGCCCAAGCAGCCACAACUAAACAUCUUCCCUAGAACCUGUCAUGGGGACAUAUAUUAAGAAUAAGUUAACAUAUAAGUGUUUCUUGUAAUCUUUUUUUUGUAUCCUUGUAAUCAUUAUAUGACCGUUGUUCCCUGUUGGGAAAUUCCUGUUACAUAAAUAAAGAUAUAAUUUCUUAUUUUUA
Long non-coding RNA from Cyprinodon tularosa, 456 nucleotides. RefSeq lists it as uncharacterized. The transcript has 2 exons. Lineage: Eukaryota; Metazoa; Chordata; Actinopteri; Cyprinodontiformes; Cyprinodontidae. The record is from RefSeq and is a predicted model, not a curated record.